Molecule: ribosomal RNA, 440 nt
Filed under: uncultured bacterium
Lineage: Bacteria
Description: bacterial SSU rRNA
Rfam family: Bacterial small subunit ribosomal RNA
Source: RNAcentral
CGGGGAAUUCGAUUCAGGCCUAACACAUGCAAGUCGAACGGCAGCAUGGAGAGCUUGCUCUCUGAUGGCGAGUGGCGAACGGGUGAGUAAUGCAUCGGAACGUACCGUGUAAUGGGGGAUAACGUAGCGAAAGUUACGCUAAUACCGCAUACGACCUGAGGGUGAAAGCAGGGGAUCGCAAGACCUUGCGUUAUACGAGCGGCCGAUGUCAGAUUAGCUAGUUGGUGAGGUAAAGGCUCACCAAGGCGACGAUCUGUAGCGGGUCUGAGAGGAUGAUCCGCCACACUGGGACUGAGACACGGCCCAGACUCCUACGGGAGGCAGCAGUGGGGAAUUUUGGACAAUGGGGGCAACCCUGAUCCAUCAAGGCCGCGUGAGUGAAGAAGGCCUUCGGGUGUAAAUCUAAGAGGCCGGGAAGAAAUCGCACAGGCUAAUACUCU